RNAcentral lists this ribosomal RNA (116 nucleotides) under Geothrix sp. RNAcentral also lists the same sequence under 1 other name. The record is from RNAcentral. Lineage: Bacteria; Pseudomonadati; Acidobacteriota; Holophagae; Holophagales; Holophagaceae.
CGUCGUGGCUUUUCCCCAAGUGUCACACCCGUUCCCAUCCCGAACACGGCAGUUAAGACUUGGAGGGCCGAUGAUACUGCGCAUCACAUGCGUGGAAAAGUAGGUCGCUGCGACGU